RNAcentral lists this ribosomal RNA (327 nucleotides) under Providencia vermicola. RNAcentral's name for it is "bacterial SSU rRNA". It matches the Rfam family "Bacterial small subunit ribosomal RNA", at positions 48 to 389 of the family's 1533-position model. Lineage: Bacteria; Pseudomonadati; Pseudomonadota; Gammaproteobacteria; Enterobacterales; Morganellaceae. The record is from RNAcentral.
AUUAACANGGAGAAGCUUUGCUUUCCCGGCUGACGAGCGGCGGACGGGUGAGUAAUGUAUGGGGAUCUGCCCGAUAGGAGGGGGAUAACCACUGGAAACGGUGGCUAAUACCGCAUAAUCUCUCAGGAGCAAAGCAGGGGAACUUCGGUCCUUGCGCUAUCGGAUGAACCCAUAUGGGAUUAGCUAGUAGGUGGGGUAAUGGCUCACUUAGGCGACGAUCCCUAGCUGGUCUGAGAGGAUGACCAGCCACACUGGAACUGAGACUGUGGUCCGACUCAUCCGGGAGGCAUCAGUGGGAAAUUUUGUCUAGGGGCGCAAACCUGAUCU